This is a non-coding RNA of Oryctolagus cuniculus (rabbit), 15257 nucleotides long. Lineage: Eukaryota; Metazoa; Chordata; Mammalia; Lagomorpha; Leporidae. The record is from RefSeq and is a predicted model, not a curated record.
UUAACCUUGAACUGUCUUUAAGUCCUUCCCAGUCAGCGCUGGGGGACAGAGCCCCCUGCUGGAGGUUCUGGGCACCCGGAUUUCCACUGGGACCGCAAGGUCCCUCCCAGUCGCUGGGAGACAAGGAAUCUAACAGCGAAAAAACAGACGGGAUGCUUUGGACUGACAACAAAUAUUCACCACCCUGAAACUGCACUUGAUUCCUUCACACGGGAAGCUUCUGGAAGCUGUAAGGGUGACAGGUAUCAAAAAAGAAGGAAGACUGCCCCCAGGCCGGGAGGGUCUGUUGGUGUGCUGCUCUUGUUCCAUGAAAUCCAGUGCAUUCCAUAGAAAUUCUAGAAGUCUUCACAUGGCUAGCUCCUCCCUGCUGCUUCUGAAUUGGUUUCCCAGACAAACUAUUUGGGACAUAUUGUCACUGAAACAUUAUUCACUGUUUAUCUGAAGUUCAAAUUCGACUUUCUAUCCUCUGGCCACUCUAAUUCCUAGUGACUUAGAUUCUGAGCACAAAAUGAACUGGAACAAACAAACGAACAAAAUGACUUUCAUUCUACAUGGAAGAAAUGUAUACUCAACAAACUUAAUUCUUUGUGCAUCGACACUGCCGUGGAUUCAUACAUCCCCCUGGAAGAUACCAGGGACUUACUCUGGAAACGUACAACAGGGCGCCUCAGGAAGUUUGUGGGAAAAUAGAAGUAAAAGGGAAAACGACACGCCGUUGUCAUUUCGUCGUAAAGCACAAAACACGUUCCUGUGUUGAAGUCUGCAUCUACUUUCAUCUGUUUCAGUCAGCUAAGCGGUGGAGGAGCUAAAAUCCAUUAAGAGAACGGACCCUUUUCAUUGUGCUGUUUUCUCCUCAGGUAACUCGUAUGGAGGGCUCUAUGGGAAACACUGUUCAGUUACAGUGAGGCCAUUAGACAGUCUCAGAAUCUAGGAGCCGAGAGUCGGAAACAGAAAUGGGACCCAUGCCACUCAGGUUCACAUACGUGUGUGCGCGUGUGUGUGUGUCAGUUUACAUAUUUACACACAAACACACCCACCCACAUCAAUACAUACAAGCAGACUCCAGAAAGGUCAAGAACAAAUACAUUUAGAAGAUCAGUUCAUUUUGAUGCAAGAAAACUUGAAAUCCCUGCAUUGUUCUCUCAUUUUCUCUAAUUUGGAAGUCCCCUCACAUAUACACAUUUACAAAUCUAUGCAUAUGUCUAUAUGUGUUUAUACAUGUUCUAUAUACAUAUUCAAAUGUCUUUAAAAACAUUAUUUUUUUAAUUAUGUUAUUUUCUAAGUGUAAAAUACUGAUUGGCCAGAUCUUGGGUCAUUUUCUGGUGCUGCCUUUUUUUUUUUCCCUUAGGUGCAAUUAGACUAACAAGAAACUCACUUCCUUCCCUACCCCUAAAGUGGCAUCAGCACUGUGUGCAGGGACACCACACGGUUCACCCAGAGUUCUUUGUAGCAAUCACGGUGCGCAGUAUCAGACCCUUGAAUAAAGUGCGUGCUGGGAAAUUAGGAGCGACGUGAGCGUCGGGCCUCGUGUCACUGUGGCUUUGGGGUUCAAGUGUUGUCUUGUGGUGGCCCCAGCGGACAGACGAACCCAGCGUGCAGCAUUCCAUGCAGCGUCUGGUAUUUAGAAUCUUCCUGACGCAGGAAAAGAAGGGAGGGAGCUCGUCUUCCACGAUAGCAACUGCUUCUGUCUGCCCCGCCCUGUGCAGCAGCUCCGGGGCUGCCCACUGGCUGUGCACUGACUGGUGGCAGCUAUUUGUGGGUUGAAAAGUGGCUUUCCUCGGGCAGUAAUUAGCAUGGAGCAAGCACGAAAUAGAGUGUCUUUCCCCGUUGGACCAAUCUUACUGCUUAUCAAAAGCAGACAGCGUUCACUCUCACUGUCCUCUUAUUUUUCUUCCAUUUCACUUAAAAAAUUAGAAUAAAAAUGUUUAAAAAUUAGAAAAAAAAAGAACACAGUUGGAUUAGAUAGAAGGAUGAGCUAAUGCAAUUUAGGCUCUGCCACUGAGCUACUUCAGCACACUUGAUGUUGAUAAAUAUUCCGAGAGGGUAUAUUUGGCUUGGUUAGUUAUAAAUAACUAUACAGCUACUGAGAAGUGAAAUAUGAUUUUGAAUGUUUCUAAACAAAAGCCUUGUGUCAUAAUUUACUAAAACUGUGUGAUCACAUCCUAUAGAAUCUGAUGCAAUGGAAUUAAUCUUGAUGAUUUUAAAGUCUAUCCCUAAGUAGUAGAAGAUGGCCCAAGUCCUUGGGCCCCUGCACCCACUUGGAGACCUGGAAGAAGCUCCAGGCUCCUGGCUUCAAAUCAGCCCAGGUCUGGCCAUUGCAGCCAUUUGGGGAAUGAACCAGCAGAUGGAGGACCUCUCUCUUGCUCUAUCUUUGCCUUUCUGUAACUCUGCCUUUCAAAUAAGUAAGUAAAUCUUAAAAAAAAAAUAAAGUCUAUCCCUCUGGGUGUUAUGUACCAUGUUGGUCAAGGAAAUAUUUUUAUAAUUGGCACUUAAUAAUUUUUCAACACUGUCAGGGUAUAUUUUAAUUCCUUUACUGAUUUCUAAUUGCUCUGAAAAAUAUGUUAUGCUUGAGAGUAUAGUGUGUAGUUCUUUACUGCAUAAAAAUUUAAAAAUAUGCUUUGGCUAAAUCAUGAAUCACAUAUUAGGAGUAACAAUGGGUAUUUUUGCUUUAGAUUUCCCCACAUGCUAUUUGCAAUUGUUUACAUAUGUUAGAAUCCCUUGCAUUUAAAUAGCUCAUUAUGCAAAUGUUUAAGAAAUAGUUGGUUAUUUAUUUUCAUGGAAACUUCCACUCAAAAACUGAAUUGAGAUGAUACCUUAACGUUGACUGUAAUAUUUUAUGUUCAGUAAUAGCACAUAAAUAUUAAUAUCUAAAUCAAAUCAUAUUGAACUUUUGAAAGAAAAAAUAAUUGCUCGUGUUUUGAGAGAGAUGAUUACCAUAUUCUGUGAGCCCUCAGAAGGUAACAGGCCGUGGUCUUGCCUAUUGGCUGGCCAGGAGAGUGCCCAUGAUGGAACUUUGGCAGCAAAGAAGUUAGUAGUUGUGACUAUUUGGGCUGUAUUUUAUGUUUUGUGCCAUUCUCAUUUUGGGCAUAGGUUUUGAUUGGCUAGAAUUCCCAAGAGCCAACAGUAGCCUGGGAAGCCAAGUCUAGUAUCUUUGGCAUGCAGGCUGUUUCUAGUUCGGAUGUCAGUUGCUCACUCUGAGUUGCCCACUUCCAGUUUGGACCUAUUGACUGGCCCUGCCUCAGAAUGACGUCAGCUCUGUGAAGUGCAGCCACUGACUCAGAACCAGAUGUGGGGUUAGAAUUGCUGCACACAGACCAAAAGCUUGUGGGUCAAGUGUAGGACUUAGAUCCAGGAAGCCAGAGUUCUUGUUGAUAAACUUAACUCCACUUAACCUCUUUGAGCCUUGGCUCUCUUAGCAAUAGAACAAGGGUGUCCAGAGUUUAUUUAAGCCCUGAUCUAUCUUUCUUUCUUUCUUUUAAAGAUUUAUGUAUUUAUCUGAAAGUCAGAGUUAGAGAGAGAGAGAGGGAAAGAGAGAAAGGUCUUCCAUCUACUGGCUUAUUCUCCAGAUGGCUGCUACAGCCAGGGCUGGGCCAUGUUGAAUUAAGGAGCCAGGAGCCAAGAGCUUUAUCUGGGUCUCCCAUAUGGGUGUCAAGGGCCCAACCAUUUGGGCCAUCUUCUGCUUCUUUUCUCAGGGCGUUAGAAGGGAGCUGGAUUGGAAGUGGAGCAGCCAGGACAUGAACCAGUGUCCAUAUAGGAUGCUAGCAUCAUAGGCAGCAUCUUCACCUGCUAUGCCACAAUGCCAGCCCUAGUCCUGAUAUUUCUGAUACUCACCAACUUAAAGCCUUUCAGAUAAGCUGUGAUUAUCCCCAAAACAGAAAACCACAUGCAGUAGAGAAAAUGGAGACACCCCAUCUGAGGUGCAUUCUUGGAAAGAAAGACGUGGCAAGACAGUGAGGGACAGCAGAGGUGUGUCUGUGCCUAAGGAAGAGGAAUAUUUGCUCUGGAUACCCCAAAGCACGAAUAGUGUUCCAGGUAGAUACUUGAGUGAGAUGAUCUACGUAAAAGACCUGCAAAUAAAAUACUCAAAAAAUGAAAACUCUGGUUACCAUCUUGUUUAUGGGAGAAAGAGUGGUGCUACUAUAAAAAUAAGCUUCCUUGCCUCCCAUUCCCCCAUCUGAGUCUGGCUUCACAGACAGAUGUCCCUGUUAAUAGGUGAUAGUUUCUGUGAGAACCUACCAUGCCAUAUUAAUGAAAUGGGCUUGACAUUAUACUCAAUGAACUAAUAUUUAUUCUGUUAACUUCCCUGUGCUUUUGAUUGGUAUAUUCCAACUUCCCUAGAGCAGUGGAGAGCAAUGAACUUGAGUCAAGUUAACAACCUGUAGUCCCUCAACUGGGCACCUGCACUGUGGAAGCAUCAGGAGAAAGAUGGCUCUGAGACGCAUCCAGGAAAUAUAAGCCAGUGCCUUAAAGAACAUGGACAGUGUACAAUCAGAUCACAGGAUGCUAAAAGCAGAAUUUUCAACAACAAGGGAAGCAAAAUAAAUUUUAAUUUUUGAUUGAAGCUUUGGUUUCUUUGGAAAACCAGCUAAAUUCCCAACUCUUAUUAGUUAGGUAUAAAUUGGGUUUAAGGUGCUACUGCAUGUGUGAAACGGGGUUCUGCAGGAAAUGAGGCAUGAUGAAGGUCCUCACAUGCUUUUACUCCUUUCCAUGUUUUACCACUUCACUAAAGAACUUGGUGUUUUACAAAUGCACGUUCCUUUGGAGGACUGUGGUUGUUUUAACUGAACAGAAAUCUGACAGUGUGCCUGCAAUGACUUCUGCCUUUCAUGUCUGUUAUUCCCUCUCCGGCCUCUGCAAACUUCCUGGAGCUUCCUGGAAGCACGGCUCACCUCCUACCUCCCCCACCUCUGCCCUAAACCCCUAUUGUUUGGCAUUUACUCCAUCAUUUUACUGAGUGUUUUUCUCAAGACAUUCCUGGGUUUUUAUUGGCCAUACCUUGUCUUCUUCCCAAGGCUCACCUUCUUAGUUUGUUGCAUCAGACUUGUGGAAACACUUUAAACUCAGGUUUCUCUCUACCCUUAACAUCUUAACUCCAUACAAUCUUAUCUCUGCAUCUUCUCCAGUUAAAUCCUCUGCUCCUUAUUGGUUUUUCUUCCUUUGAAUCUUAAAAGCUCACUACUCUGAGUUUCUUGUUUUUUUCAUCCAUUAUUUACUUAUUUCCUUGUUAACCUCAAUGAAUUCCUAUGACUUCAACUCUAUCAAUUCUAGGCAGACAUCUUUCGUAUCUAUUCUCUAGCUUUGCUUUCUACUAACUUCCUAACUUAUAUUCUAAACUUCCUACGAGGCACUGAUGUUUUAAACUAUAACAAACUCUAAAGUAUUGAAAAUUUGAGGAAGAAAAUUUGGACAUUCCAAUAAAAUCAUAUUAAGAAUUUUGAAGUUGACUGGAGGUGGUGAUGUAGGAGAAGGGCUAGCCAGAUAUAACCUCGCUAUGUCAUGUCUGAGUGGUGGAGGUGACCUUAUGAAAUCUUACCUUUGGCCCUCUCCUCUGGUUCUGUGAGUCUCAUCUGUGUUUUUUCCUAAGACUUUUUAAUUUUUAAUUUAACAGUAGUAAUUGUAUGUAUUUAAGAGAUAGUUCAAUACACUACAGAGGAUCACACCAGAACCAUUGGCAUAUGCCUCAUCUGAGACAUUUAUCAUUUCUCUGCAUUGGGUACUCACAAAAUUCUCUCUACCAACUACUUUGAAAUAGACAACUAAUUGCAGUCAACCAUGCUUAUUCUACUGCACUGUAGAACUUCAGAAGUUAUUUUUCCUUUGCAGUCAUGUCCCUGUAUUCAUUAAGCAUGCUUUCUCCAUCUCCCUCAUCCCACAUGGAUCUCAGGCUUUGGAUUAUCACAGCACUAUCCUCAAUUGUCAAGCUAUGGAACCAACAAUGGUGUCUAUCAACAGGUGAAUGCUUACAGAAAAUGUGGCAUUUAUAGAUACGCAAUGGAAAGAAGGAAAUUCUGUAAUUUGCAGCAACAGGGACAGAACUGGAGGACAUUAUGUUAAGUUGUGAAAUAAGCCAGGCACAGAAAGACAAAUACUGCAGGAUCUCACUCACGUGUGGAAGCGAAAUGUUGAACUCAUAGAAGCAGAGAGACUCAUCUCUUUCUUCGAGCUCUCAUCAGCUCCUUGAUUUCAACCUCUGAGCAGAUGAUCCAAGUGCUCUCUCUAGACACGAUCGCCACGUCCAUGGAGGACUUGCCUCCUGGCCACUCCUGCUUAUCUUCUGGCUCUUUACAUUCCAUACAUCAAAAAUGAAACACAACCUUCCUCCCCAAAUUGCAUUUCUUCUUAAUAUUUACUUGUGUGAGUGGCCAUAUGACAAUUAUAAUGGCCCAAGUUUGAUACCGCAGUCCAUCUCUUUUCACUCUCAUGUAAGCCUCCUAUGCAUGUCAAGUCCUGGCUGGUGUUUGUGGGCUUGAGCUGUGUACGAUUCCUUAUGUCUCCUUCCUCUUCCACAGUUUCCAGGGUCACCUUUUCGGCUUGCACCCCUUGUGGUGAAUGAGGUUAUUGCUCAGGCAACUCAUGCUCUCUUGCCCAUUUCCAUCAGAGAGGUGGACAUCCCCAGUGUGUGCAUAUUGAGCUUGACCAGACAACUUGUUAGCCAAGGGGGUGGGGGCAGGUCGGAUGCAACACUCGGAUGGACUGAUGCCCGCCAGUUUCUGUCCUUGCCUGGAGAAGAUCGUGUCAGUAUGGGCCCACUGGUUCUAGGAGGGGAUGUGAGCCCCAUGGAAGUCUAGGUCAACUGACUCCCAACCAACCUCAAGGUCUGUGGCCCAAAAGAGGCUCACCCGUGUUUGUCACCAUAAAAUUAGGAACUUUCUCAAAUCAUGUUAGAGUCCUUAGAAAAUUGUGUUCUUUCAUUUCAUUAAUCAUUUUUUAUGUUUUUACAUUUGCUACUUUCAGUUUAGAAGUAACUACACUGGGGCCAGCAUUGUGGACCUCAGCAGGUAAAGCCGCCGCCCAUAAUGCCGGCAUCUCCUAUGUGCACAGGUUUGAGUCCCGGCUGUUCCACUUCUGAUCCAGCUCCCUGCUGAUAUGCCUUGGAAAGUAGCAGAGGAUGGCCUGAGUGCUUGAGCCCCUGCACCCAGGUGGGAGACCUGGAAGAAGCUCUAGGUACCUGGCUUCAGACUGGCCCAGCUCCAGCCAUGGCGGCCAUUCAGGGAGUGAAUCAGCAGAUAGAGGAUCUCUCUCUCUCUCUCUCCCUCUCUCUCUGAAAACUCUGCCUUUCAAAAAAUAAAUCUUUCUAAAAAGAGGGUUUUACUUAAAAAAGAAGUAAAUACACAGUGUACUUUUAAUCUAAAUGUUUUAGACAGCAAAAUUCCCAUGAGAACUCUAUGCUUAUAGUGAGUUUUAGCAGGAAAAUGUGUCAUGACUUAUGGCAUUCCUUGGGAGUUCUGAAGGAGGCAUUCCACCCAGAACUAGGUGUCAUGAGCGCAUCAGGAUUAAGAAAUAAAGUUUAAAAGUGAAAGGUAGUGGUUGGAGUAACCAGUGUUAAACAACCCCAGAAUGUCUACACUGUCCAACCCACUCCUCCUAUGGUCCAUGAACUGGCAAAUGCUUAUUGUGUGCUCUGGUGAAAGCUCUUGGGACAUUAGAAAUGUCAAGGACAUGUUUUCUAGAUGAGUUAUGUCAGUGAGCUGGUGCCUUUUCCUUACCAGUGAUUCACCAAACACAUCACUGGACACAUUGUUUAAUUACAGCAGGACUUAGCAUGCUUUAGGAAAUCAUCUGAGUCUUAGAAAAUUGGAGCAAAUGACUCACUUCCUAAGAGAGAAUGUGGAGGUCAGACUGGUACCAGGGAGGGUGAAACCAUUGCCUGUAAGGCAUCUGCAGUCCCAGCUCCCUCCCCAUAAUCCCACAGCUGACGAGGUGCCAUCUUGACCUGGCACUACGCUGCAUCUGCCCUUCGACUUUGUCACAUGCAGUGCUGAACCGGAGAAGACGUAGUGGAAUCCAAAGUGGGAUAUAACCAAAUCACUGUGGCUCAUUCUCAUAAGCCGUGGGAAAAGACAGGAUUAUAAACGAAUGGUUUUAUAACCACUCGCUGAGUGUUCUGCACAUCAUGUCAGCUUUGAUUACUGCGCAAAAAUAAAAAUGCCUGCUUCUGUGUUGUGGACUCGCCAGCCUUGCUCCAUGGUAGGAAACGGUCAUAUGCUAGGAUAUGUGUGUUUCCAUACAAAAAUGUUCGGGGUGGCUUAUUAAAUUGUGUCAUUCUGGGAUACACAGUAACAUUAAGUGACUCUCUUUAACACAAAUGCACACACACACACACAUACACAAACCAGAUUGCAUAAAUGUGUAACUUUAUAUUUCUGUCACUAUUAUUAGUAAAUAGGAAAUGAAGUUACAAUCCUUGAAAUUAUAAUGGCAAGUGCACAAAGACACAGUUGCUGGCACAGAAUUCAAUUAACAGAUAGCAAUCACCCUUGGGUGACUGUGUGAGGUAGAAAUAUACAGGCAUGCUAAUAAGUAAUAUCUUAAAGCCACCGCCUUUAUCAGCCAGCAGCCAGACACGGGCACAAGUGUGGGCAGACAGCAUUGCUUCAGGAUAUUUAAUACAAGCCAGCUCUCUCCAUUUAAGGAUUUGUGUUUAAUCAUUCAGCAGCAUUUUAAAACAUCCCGGCUGGCAAGCUUUUCAAACAGAACUGUUUCCGGCAGAAGACUGCAAGGAGUAAUUUUGCUCCACCUGGUUGAGAAAGAUGGGAGGGGCGGGAAUGAGAAGUUGAGGAAUAAUCACCCUGCGUUUGUAUUUUUAAAUGCUUUUCCUUGUCAUUUUCUGACCUUUGAGCCACUCUGGUGUGCAUCUGCUGGGUGAAUCAUGGCUUCAUCUAAGGAAAUGUACAGAAGGCAUUCAUUAACGCAAGAUGGCUGGAUGACUGACUUCUGCAAAACCACCCCUUCUCUGAGACAGGCUGAGCAACGCUUGCAGCCACGUUGUUCCAGGUUGGAAUUCUAGUUAAAGGGGAGCACAAGGGGGUGUUCAGAAAUUGGAGGCUGUUUUCCUCCCUUAGCUUCCAGAAAGGUGGAGAUAUUUCUGCAUUUGGUCGCAGAAAUCUCUCAAGUAUCUGUCAAGAUACUUUGUGUUGAGUACAAGCAAAGAGAAAAAGAAGAUGGCUGUGCAGUGAGAUUUGGUGUAAGCUUUGUGGGGAGUGGGAAUUUAUCCAAAGAAUGCAACUCCUUGCCUUUUACACAAAGGGAAUUUGUCUUCUAUUGAAGUAAACUGGAAGCCAUACUUGCAGUGCCAAGAUGAAAAUCCUCAUCACACAGACUGGUUCAAGAACAGCUAGUCUGCUGGCAUCUAGGUCAGUCAAUUUGCACGGAGGUGUUGUGUCAUGUUUGCUACAAACAGAUGCCUGGGGGAAUCUGACUGCCAAGCAGAUGGCAGCGUUGGGAGAGUGUCUUCUCCAUUUGGUGCCUUGACUCAAUCAAACCUCCUGGAAAGCCCUUAGUUCUAUAAAGCACGGAAGGAGGGAGGAGAAGGAAGAUGAGAACAAAACAAGAGCUUGGCUGAAGGUGCAACUAAGUAAGGUGUGAGUAGAUUUCACUUUAACUGCCAUUUUCAAGUACGUAGAUCCUUUUGACUAUUUCUCCUUCAGGUUCAAGCUUUGAGGUUUUCAAAGUAAGAAAAGAGAUGGAACAAAAAGCAUAAUAGAAGCUGUUGUUGAGUCCAGAAAUUGAAUGCUUCUUAGCUACUGGAAUUUUAAGCAUGCAGAUUUUUUUCUGGAGUAUGAAAAUGGCACUGCUAGUCUGAGAUUGAAGUGCCAUUUGCAGUUUCCAGCAUUAACUGACCAAGAGUCGGCUUUUGGGGAUCAAGACUGUGCUCCCUGCUGGACUGUUCAGUGACCACACCCUCCCGGCAAGAUCUGAACUGUGGUCUUAGGAGGCUGCCCUCUUGACAAAGUCCCCAUGCAAUUACCCUUGGAGGAGAACCUUCUCUGCAACAAAAGGGCCGUUUGUUUCCAUGGGGAGGCUAGGAAGACAGUGCCAACAUUUCAGCCCAGCUUCUGUGGUUUCUCUUCUGUAGGGUAACUCUGGCUGCACAGGCCUGGAGUCACUUCACUGAUCUCGAGAAGGAUCGACUGUGGCCAGAUUUGCAAACAACAGAAUCUCUUAGAUUUCCAUCUACAGCUUCACAGAGAAUGGUGUGGACAGUAGAGUGGACGUUCUCUGAGAGUCAGCUGGGGACUUGGGUGUUUGGGUGCAAGAUGAGCCUUCAAGUCCUCUAAAGAAAAGGUGCAGGAGUUCCUACGGACUUUGCCCAUUUCCUCAAUGUUUAUUAACCUUGGCUACAUCCAGAACUGUGCAUUCCUUUCAAGUCUCAUUGCAAUAGACCCUUUACUAAAUUUCUAUCCUUCUUGAAAGAAACAACAGUUGGUGUGGGGUCAAGACAUAGAAAUUGUGAAAUACAGGAAAGAAACAAAUACUUCUGCUUGUUAAAGAGUUAGCCUGCGGGCUGGAGUUGUGGUGCAGCAGGCUGCUCCCUAGCCUUGGAUGGCAGCAUCACAUAGGAGCACCAGUUUGAGCUCCAGCUGCUUUGAUUCCGACCCAGCUCCCUGCUAAUCCACCUGUAAAAGUAGCAGAAGGUGGCCCAAGUGCUUAGGGGUGCUGCCACCCACAUGGGAGAUGGAGUUCCUGUCUCUUGGUUUUAACUUGUCCAUUCCUGGCCAUUGUGGCCAUUUGGGGAAUGACCAGUGGACAGAAGAUCUUUCUCUCUCUCUCUCUCUCUCUCUCUCUCUCUGUGUGUGUGUGUGUUUAUCCCUCUGACUCUGUUAUCUGUCUUUCAAAUAAAUAAAAUAAAUCUUAAAAAAUAAGUCAUUAUCAAGGCUUUUCAAGAUGCAUAAAUACAGGCACUCAACACUCACCUCCUCCUGCACAGAGAAGAACCAAAACAACAAGCAACCAGGUGCAUUUUGAAAUGAAGAGGAAGAGAAAAACUGGGUGAGGAGUUAUGGGAUGGACAUGGAAGGAGAGGAACAAAGCCAGCCAGCAUCCGCGGCCCCCGUCCUGGCCCCAUGGAAGGGGAAUUCAUAUUGCAAGGGUGGGUGAAGAGGAGAGCCUCCGUGGAACUCACCUCAGUGAACCCCGUGCUGACCACCGUGGCCAGAGGAGCUCACAGUCCUCAGAGAAGGGAAUCCCAGAAGGGGGUGCCUGGCGUUGGACUCCGGGUAGACUGGCUUCAGAGAAGGCACUCUCCUCAUCUCUCCCUCAUCAACUGACGCUGCGGCUGCACCAAUGUUCUGCUUUUUUAAACUGAAUUUCUUAAAAAAAUUUCAAGAUGUAACAAUAAUUGUAUAUAUUUAUGGGUUGCUGUGUGACAUCGCCAUGCGUGUCUCCAUCAGGAUAGUCAACAUUGCCCUGUCUUUGACAUCAUGUUAUGAUUGGAAACUUGGAGCUCUUUUCUUCUUUUUGCUCAUAAAACGUAGGCUAGGCUAUGUUGAGCUAUCACUGCCCGGCUGUGUGACUCUGCAGCAGAACACCCGUUGCUUUGAUCUAACUCUGAUUCUGGUGUUCAUGACCCGAAUUCCCUCUGCUCUCUUCUUCCCUUUCCAGCCUGUAGUAAUCACUAUUCAGUAUUCAGAUAUAUGUUUUUUUUUAUUUGCACAUAUGAGAGAGAACAUGUGGUGUUUGUCUUCCUGUGUAUGACUUAUUUCACUUACGAUGCCCCCCAGUUUCACUAAUUUUGCGGCAAAUUACAGUAGUUCACUAUUUUGAUAGCUUAAUAUCAUCCCACUGUGUGUGUGUGUGGGGGGGGGUGUCUCAUUUUCCUUAGCUCGUCAUCUGCUGGUGAACACCUAGUUUGGCUGCCCGUGUUGGCUGCUGUGAACAGCAGUGAGCGCGGCAGAGCUGAUUUCUGUUGCAUGUGGUCAACUGAUUUUUGACACAGACCUGAAGGAAUACAUUGGAGACAGGACAGUCUUUUCAAGAAAUGGUGUGGGCAAAACUGGAUUGACAUAAAUAGAGAUUUAGAAGAAUGAAAUAGAUCCUUACCUCUCGUGAUACACAAAAUUCAACUCAAGUUGACCAAAGACCUAAAUAUGAGACCUGAAAUCACUACAAGGAAAAAUCAGGGGGGCGGACGGUGCUGUGGUCUAGCAGGUAAAGCCUCUACCUGCAGUGCUGGCGUUCUAUACGGGUGCCAGUUCGAGUUCCGGCUGCUCCACUCCCAAUCUAGCUCUCUGCUAUGACCUGGGAAAGCAGUAAAAGAUGGCCCAAGUCCUUAGGUCCCUGCACCCACAUGGGAGACCUGGAAGAAGUUCCUGGCUCCUGGCUUUGGAUUUUCUCAGCUGCGGCUGUUGCAGCCAUCUGGGUAGUGAACCAGUGGAUGGAAGACCUCUCUCUCUCUCUCUCUGCCUCUGCCACUCUGUAUCUUUGCCUUUCAAAUAAAUAAAUAAAUCUUUUCUUUUUAAAAAGAAAACAUAAGGGAAACACCCCAAGACAUUGAGGAGGCAAUUGCUUUUUUUGGCUAAGACCCCAAUAGCACAGGCAACAGAAACAAAGCUAGACAAGCAGCAUUAUAUCAGAAUCAGAAGCCGCUGCAGAGCAGGGCAAGCAGACAGCAGUGUUGGUAUCUUGAGAAAGGAGUCACUCUCAGAAUCCAUACUGCCUUAGUGGACAGAAUCCAUGCUUAUGUCCAUCUGGGGAUCCCACAGACAUCCCACCACAUUAGCGAAAAAGAAGCACAGCCUUGCAAAUCCAAGUAGACCCAGUAGAGCAGCGGCACCUUCAACACUUUAGUCCCUGUGUGCUGCACACUACAAGGGACAGAGCAUACGGAAUAGCACGGAGGUGCUACCCUCAGCAUCCUACAAAUAAGGGGACUUCCCUCUUCAGGCUUGGGAUGCAGCCUCCUCCACUCCCUCUCUUCUCUUCAACUCCCUGGAGCUUAGUUGCCCCCCCACCCCCCCCACACCCAGACUCCUGGAAAGAGCUUCCUUGACUCCAGCCCAGACCUCCACCCAGUAGCACUCAGGACUGUGCUCAUACUGAUCUGCCCAUCAGUGUUGCUCCCAUGGCUCUGACGCCACAGACGGUGACUGGAAGACCAUAAUCCCAGCCUAACCUGCUUCCCAGUGUCACUCCCAUGCUCUUGGCUAUUUGAUCGGAUGCUGGUAUUGUAUGCCACAGAGGAUGGAAUCUGAGAAAUCCUGCUCUAUCUCAGGUACACCCCACACCCCCACGACUACCAUCAAUAAUGGCAAAAGAAGGUGUAGGAGAAAUACACCACAGAGUCCAAUUGCAAGUAAGGCAAAGUAGCCACAAACCAAGACCUGAAGACAUAUCUUAAAAAAAAUCUUCUAGCACUAGAACCACUAUUCCACAGUGAUAAAGACAAAUGAUUCAUCAGAUGAGGAAGAGUAUAAGAACACAAGUGUAAGUAAGUAUGAGAAAAACAAGACAAUAUGAUGCCUCCAAAUGAAGACAUUAUAAACACAUUGUAUUUUAGUAACAGACCCCAGUGAAAAGGAGACUGAAAAUGUUAAAUAAAGAAUUCAAAAGGAUGUAUACUCUAAGAUAUACAAGAGAAUACAAACUAAUAGUAGAAUGAAGUCAGGAAAACUAUGGAUGAUGCAAAUAAGACAUUCAGCAAAAAGAUAGAGAUCUUGAAAAAAGACCAAACAGAAAUCUUGGAUAUGAAGAACACAAUAAAUAAAAUAAAAAUGUAGUUGAAAUCCCUGAGAACAGAGUAGAUCAAACAGAAGAAAAAAUAUCAGGAAAGAGAUUUUAAUACCAUAAUAGUGAAGAUGUUCAAUAUCCCACUUCGAUAAUGGACAUGUUACCUAGAAAAAAAUUACAGGAAUGUUGGAGAUAGACUAUGCUAUAGAUCAAAUUGAUCUUACAGACACUUCUGCAACAUUUCAUCAACAGUUGCAAAAUACACAUUCUUCUCAUCAGCACAUGGAACAGUCUAUACUGGAUCAUAUUUAAAGCCACAGAAGAAAUCUCAAUGAACUAAAAAAGCCAAAAUCAUAUUAUAGAAUUUUCUGAGCGUAAUGAAGUUAAACUAGAAAUCCACCACAACAAAAAUGUUAGUUAUUAGACAAAUACAAGGAGACUGAAUGACAUGCUUCUGUAUAAGCUACGGAUUACUGAAAAAAUCAAAAGGAAAAGUAACAUUUUAAAAACAAAUUAAAUGGAAAUAAAAUAUACAACAUAUCAAAAGUUAGAGGAUAUAGCAAAAGCAAUACCAAGAGGGAGUUUCAUAGCAAUAAGUGUCUACAUACGAAAAAUAGAAAGAUUUCAAAGACAACCGAAUGAAAAACCUCAGAGAACUAGAAAAGCAAGGACAAUCAAAUGCAAAAUUAGUAGAAGGAAAUAAAUGACAAUGGUCAGAGCAGAAAUAAAUAAAAUAGAGGCUAAAACAACAAUAACAAGAUCAAUAAAGAGUUGAUUUUUUGAAAAUAUAAAUAAAAUUAAAAAACCUUUAGCUGGAAUGAGCAAGAAAGGGAUAGAGAAGACUGAAAUCAGUAAAAUCAGAGACAAAAAAGGAAAGAUCAAAACUGAUACCACAGAAGUUCAAAGCAAUCAUUAAGGACUGUUGUGAACAAUUUCACAACAACAGACUGGAAGAAAUGGGCAAAUUUCUGGAUACAUAAAAGUGACAAAAUUGAACCAAGAAUACUAGAAAAUCUGAACACAGCAAUAAGAAGUGAUGAGAUUGGGUCAGUAUUAAAACAUCUCCCUGAAAAUAAAAACCCAGGAGUAAAAGAGUUUUCUGCUGUUUUACCAUACUUUUUAGGAUAAUUUUUUUAACUUUUAUUUAAUGAAUAUAAAUUUCCAAAGUACAGCUUAUGGAUUACAAUGGCUUCCCCCCCAUGACGUCCCUCCCACCCACAACCCUCCCCCUUUCCACUCCCUCUCCCCUUCCAUUCACAUCAAGAUUCAUUUUCGAUUCUCUUUAUAUACAGAAGAUCAGUUUAGCAUACAUUAAGUAAAGAUUUCAACAGUUUACUCCCACACAGAAACAUAAAGUGAAAAAUACUGUUUGAGUACUAGUUAUAGCAUUAAAUCUCAAUGUACAGCACACUAAGGACAAGAUCCUACAUGAGGAGUAAGUGCACAGUGACUCCUGUUGUUGACUUAACAAAUUGACACUCUUGUUUAUGGCAUCAGUAAUCACCCUAGGCUCUAGUCAUGAGUUACCAAGGCUAUGGAAGCCUUUUGGGUUCGCCAACUUCAAUCUUAUUCCAACAGGGUCAUAGUCAAAG